Molecule: ribosomal RNA, 953 nt
Filed under: Caryophyllaeus laticeps
Lineage: Eukaryota; Metazoa; Platyhelminthes; Cestoda; Caryophyllidea; Caryophyllaeidae
Description: 16S ribosomal RNA
Rfam family: Bacterial large subunit ribosomal RNA
Source: RNAcentral
AUAUUAUUGUAUGUUUAAGUCGUUGGUUAGUGGGUUCGCGUGCCUUUCGCAUCAUGCUAUUCCGAGUUUACGGCGUAAGGCCCCCAACCGAAAAGACCAGAUCUCCCACACAGUUGUGCGGUACUCCCGAUGGGUUAUUUUUGUUAACUGUGUGGGCGGGGUGAUAAAUUAGUCGUUGGUCUUUAUACCUGUUUAUCGGGUUUAGUUUUCUUUUUAUUGUGCUAGUGAUGAGAUUAGCACAAUGUCUAUAUAAGGGGUUGUGUGUAUUGUAGCUUAGGUUAGGAUUACCUGUGUGUCAUCGAGUGUGUCGUGAUUCAGUAGAAGCCUGUUUUGAUUAGCUAAACACCCCGUGUUGUUUAAAUUCAUUUAGUGAUUUAUGGUUUAAUAAGUAAUUAUAACAGUAGUAGUUUUUCUCGGGUCUGGACCAACUGUUUAUUAAAAACAUUUCUGCUUGCUUAGUUAUGAGCAGUACGCCCUGCCCGGUGUAUUAUUAACGGCCGCAGUAUUUUGACUGUGCGAAGGUAGCAUAAUUAAUUGCCCCAUAAUUGGGGGCUUGUUUGAAUGGGUUAAUGAGGCCAGAACCAAAAUUACUAUUUUUGGUGAAAUUAAUUAGGUGGGUACAGAAUCCACUUAGUUUAGUUAGACGGAAAGACCCCAGGAUCUUUUCAUUUGUCUGGGGCAGAUUAGCGUUUUUUACGUUAUUUGGGACCCUCUGAUUAGAGAUUUAAGUUACCCUGGGGAUAACAGAGUAAUGGCUAACGAGAGAUCAUAUCGACUUAGCCGAUUGCUACCUCGAUGUUGACUUGGGUUGUCCUAAUGGCGCAGUAGUUGUUAGGCGUGGUCUGUUCGACCAUCAAAGCCCUCAUGAGUUGUGUUAAGACCGGCGUAAGCCAGGUCGGUUCUUAUCUACUAAUCUGACCAAAUAGUACGAAAGGACCGUUGGUCAUUUUAUU